CAAUAGGGAAUCUUCGGCAAUGGACGAAAGUCUGACCGAGCAACGCCGCGUGAGUGAAGAAGGUUUUCGGAUCGUAAAACUCUGUUGGUAGAGAAGAACGUUGGUGAGAGUGGAAAGCUCAUCAAGUGACGGUAACUACCCGGAAAGGGACGGCUAACUACGUGCCAG
RNAcentral lists this ribosomal RNA (168 nucleotides) under uncultured bacterium. RNAcentral's name for it is "partial 16S rRNA". It matches the Rfam family "Bacterial small subunit ribosomal RNA", at positions 352 to 511 of the family's 1533-position model. The record is from RNAcentral.